This 477-nucleotide ribosomal RNA is filed under the name uncultured bacterium. RNAcentral describes it as "bacterial SSU rRNA". It matches the Rfam family "Bacterial small subunit ribosomal RNA", at positions 355 to 832 of the family's 1533-position model. The record is from RNAcentral.
UGGGGAAUCUUGCGCAAUGGCCUAACGGCUGACGCAGCGACGCCGCGUGAGGGAUGACGCUCUUCGGAGUGUAAACCUCUUUUGCCCGGGACGAACUGCCAGUUUUCACUGGCUUGACGGUACCGGGUGAAUAAGCACCGGCUAACUCCGUGCCAGCAGCCGCGGUAAUACGGGGGGUGCGAGCGUUGUCCGGAAUCACUGGGCGUAAAGGGCGCGUAGGUGGUCUGAUAAGGGUGUGGUGAAAGCCCGGGGCUCAACCCCGGGUCGGCCGUGCCGACUGUUGGACUAGAGUGCUGUAGGGGCAGGCGGAAUUCCGGGUGUAGCGGUGAAAUGCGUAGAGAUCCGGAGGAAGACCGGUGGCGAAGGCGGCCUGCUGGGCAGUUACUGACACUGAGGCGCGACAGCGUGGGGAGCAAACAGGAUUAGAUACCCUGGUAGUCCACGCCGUAAACGAUGGGUACUAGGUGCCUGGGGGAG